GAUGAACGCUAGCGACAGGCUUAACACAUGCAAGUCGAGGGGCAGCAUAGAAGUAGCAAUACUUUGGUGGCGACCGGCGCACGGGUGAGUAACGCGUAUGCAACCUACCUAUCAGAGGGGAAUAACCCGGCGAAAGUCGGACUAAUACCGCAUAAAACAGGGGCACCGCAUGGUGAUAUUUGUUAAAGAAAUUCGCUGAUAGAUGGGCAUGCGUUCCAUUAGGUAGUUGGUGAGGUAACGGCUCACCAAGCCGACGAUGGAUAGGGGAACUGAGAGGUUGGUCCCCCANACUGGUACUGAGACACGGACCAGACUCCUACGGGAGGCAGCAGUGAGGAAUAUUGGUCAAUGGGCGGGAGCCUGAACCAGCCAAGUCGCGUGAAGGAAGAAGGAUCUAUGGUUCGUAAACUUCUUUUGCAGGGGAAUAAAGUGCAGGACGUGUCCUGUUUUGUAUGUACCCUGAGAAUAAGGAUCGGCUAACUCCGUGCCAGCAGCCGCGGUAA
This 503-nucleotide ribosomal RNA is filed under the name uncultured bacterium. RNAcentral's name for it is "bacterial SSU rRNA". It matches the Rfam family "Bacterial small subunit ribosomal RNA", at positions 28 to 523 of the family's 1533-position model. The record is from RNAcentral.